Molecule: non-coding RNA, 2499 nt
Organism: Meleagris gallopavo (turkey)
Lineage: Eukaryota; Metazoa; Chordata; Aves; Galliformes; Phasianidae
Source: RefSeq, a predicted model, not a curated record
AGAACAGAGAGGUGCACAUGGUAAAUAUCAGGCCUUCAGCAGAGCAGGCUCAGUAGUUGCCUGGACAGCCCCAGACCCUGCAGUUCAAACAGCUAUCUCAGAUCACUCACAGGCUAUUUGUACAAGGCUUUGUAUGCACCAUCCGAGACCGUGAAAUAACAAGCAGCUAAAAUGUAAACUUACGUUCUUAGAUCACUCUCUCCAAGGUAUAUUAUGAAACACAAUGUUUGUCAUCCGUGUCAACAACACACGAUUAGGGGCGGGAGCAGAAAACAUGCUGUGGGAAAAGCUGAAUGGUCACAAAGAACUACAGAGGAAAACAAAGGUAAAGACUGAGCAUGAAUGGAUCAAACCUGUAAAAGCAAGUAGGUGGGACGCCCAGCAAAGCCCAUCCGACUGCCAGGCAGCCAGGGUAGCACAUCUGCCAUCACGGCACUGCCUCAGAGCCAGCUGCCUGCUGGCACUUGGAGCUGUGGAGGAGACCUUGCAGCAAAGUGGAUGCCGAGUGCCUUACUUGAACGGGGCACAGCAUAGGAUGGAGAUGCUGCACAGAGCCCUGUCUGCUCAGCAUUUUCCAAAAUGAGGCAGAUUGUUUUGCCACACCAUUACAAAUCUGGGAGCCUCCUUCUAGAUAGUCUUGUUUGGAAAUCCGGGCUGGGGCCUUUUAAAGACUUAGCAACUCCCUAGUUAAGCUUUUAAUAUCCACGUUAAAUAGAUCACUGAGUGCGUCCUGGUAUUCAAGAGAACAGUGGGCCAUUCUUGGCUGACGAGUAACUUCUACACAAAGAAAUUAUUUGGUACCUCCUGCAUUUGCUUUGUCUGUGCAUAAUGCAGUCUUUGAGGGAGGGACUUGUCCUUAGCACUGCAAACACCAGCUUCCUCUGUGCUCCUCAGUCCUCCCUUCAUCAGCAGCAGCCUCUCAACCCAAGGGCCUCUGCGUAGGCUUGACUUUCACCCCACUGUUCUACAGCAUUUUAUUCUUAAUCACUAUUUAAACUUCAAAUCUGGAGCCCUAAGUUCUGCAAUACUAAAUUAUCCAUAUUCCACAAUUGCUAAACCCUUGCCCAAACAGGUGACCAGACAGGAUGCCCCAUGGGCUAGCGAUUGCUCCAGCAGCCCAGCACUAAGCUGUGAGUUUAAAGAGCUGUUCUAACAGGGCAGCAGCCUUCCUUCAGCCACCAAGAAUAAAAAGCCUCCAUGCACACAAGAAAGCUGCCUGCCUGGCUCAGUUCUGGUCCUCACAAUUCAAGGGGAGCAAAGCUGCUGAUCCCUUCAAAGCAUUUAAAGUCGGCAGAAAUGAGUGCAUCCCUGGGGCUGCAACUGGCCAAUUUUUGCUUUUGCAAUUUUUGUUUGCCUUUGCUACACGUAGCAGAGCUCUUAGCUAAUCGUGUGUCACUGGAUUUCUGGAUUUAGAGACAAAGAAGUGGCUGGCCUGCUCUGUGCAAAUAGCUUUGGUGCUUGGCCACAGCAGGGCAUCUGGAAAGCAAACAGCACAUUUGACAUGGCUGUCAAGGAUCUAGAUACAAAUGGUACAAAUGACAAAGAUGUCUGUCCAUCCAUCUACCUGCCUGUUCAGGAAUGCCAAGAGCACCAACCUACGGCAGGUCUGACACUCUUGUUUGUUCCGUUCCCGUCCAUUUGACCUUGCUGUAUCAGACAAGCUAUUUGUCAGAGCCAGAGAAAUCUGCCGCAACAACAGAGGGAAUAUCUGGUGUCAGUAUUUCCAUCAAGAAGCUGGAGAAUAUCUCAUUAGAGAAACUAAAUCGGUGCUUUGAUUGCUCGGAAGGAAGCCAUUUGUUUUGCAAAAAUCUCCGAGCUGUUAUUCACUUCUUGUAAAAUUAUAAUGCCUCAAGUCUUAUUCUAAAGCAGCCUUGGAUAGCUGGAAUGGCUUGAAAUUUGCAACCAAUAAAAAAUUUUACAGCAAAGCAGAGCUGAUCAGUGCUUCCUAAGUGCAAUAAUUAAUCUUUUCUGUCAAAACAUCAUCAGAUUUUGCUGGAUUUAAGAACAACAAAAUGUUUCAUUGGAGAAAGUAAUAAAACAGGACAUUUCCAUGGCUUCACAGAUAUUUCAAAUGCAUUUAACAUUUGUAUCUUUUCCUGAGAAAAUUUGGAACUGAAACCCUUAAUACACCUAGAACAAGCAGUUCGUCCUGGAACAGCCAGGUAUUUUGUCACAAUCGGCUUGGAGCUGCCUCAGACUUUGGCAGAGGACACCAAACGUGAAGGGGAUGGCUGCUGUGCUAGCGUCCUACCUGAGGAAAGAAGCCUGUGGAGUUGGCAUAUUGCAGCUGCAGCCCAUGUGAGGACACAACUAUAGAGUCAGGGAACACUAGAGAUCUUUCCACCUCAUUCCUAUCCUAUCCCUGCUACAUUUUGUAAAACUAGAUCUGGUUCACUCAUGUAAUGUUUAAUUUACUUUGAUCUGAAGAAAUUCUGGUGCCCAGUUCCCUUUAUUACCUUUUAACAUCUUGUGCAUUGUACAGAACAAAUUAAAAACACA